AUCCUUAGGUCGCUGGUUCGAUUCCGGCUCGAAGGA
Molecule: transfer RNA, 36 nt
Filed under: Xenopus laevis (African clawed frog)
Lineage: Eukaryota; Metazoa; Chordata; Amphibia; Anura; Pipidae
Description: tRNA-Tyr (GUA) part 2
Source: RNAcentral